Molecule: ribosomal RNA, 253 nt
Filed under: uncultured bacterium
Lineage: Bacteria
Description: partial 16S ribosomal RNA
Rfam family: Bacterial small subunit ribosomal RNA
Source: RNAcentral
UACGUAGGGUGCGAGCGUUGUCCGGAAUUACUGGGCGUAAAGAGCUCGUAGGUGGUUUGUCGCGUUGUUCGUGAAAACUCACAGCUCAACUGUGGGCGUGCGGGCGAUACGGGCAGACUUGAGUACUGCAGGGGAGACUGGAAUUCCUGGUGUAGCGGUGGAAUGCGCAGAUAUCAGGAGGAAUACCGGUGGCGAAGGCGGGUCUCUGGGCAGUAACUGACGCUGAGGAGCGAAAGCGUGGGGAGCGAACAGG